This 89-nucleotide small RNA is filed under the name Mytilus galloprovincialis (Mediterranean mussel). The record is from RNAcentral. Lineage: Eukaryota; Metazoa; Mollusca; Bivalvia; Mytilida; Mytilidae.
UUCGCUUUGUUAUUUACCUGCAUUAUUUCUGUUAAUGAUUAUUUCUGUUAAUCAUUAACAGAAAUAAUGCAGGUAAAUAACAAAGUGAA